ACCAUGCACCGAAGCUGCGGCAGCGAACGUAUCACCCAAGACAACUUUACGGAGUUGACGAUUGACGGAGCGAAGCGACGUCAAAGCGUUCAUUAAAGUCGAGUUGGCUUAGGGAUACGUUCGUUGGGUAGGGGAGCGUUCUGUAAGCCUGUGAAGGUGUGUCGUGAGGCAUGCUGGAGGUAUCAGAAGUGCGAAUGCUGACAUAAGUAACGAUAAAGCGGGUGAAAAGCCCGCUCGCCGGAAGACCAAGGGUUCCUGUCCAACGUUAAUCGGGGCAGGGUGAGUCGACCCCUAAGGCGAGGCCGAAAGGCGUAGUCGAUGGGAAACGGGUUAAUAUUCCCGUACUUGGUGUUACUGCGAAGGGGGGACGGAGAAGGCUAUGUUGGCCGGGCGACGGUUGUCCCGGUUUAAGCGUGUAGGUGUGUGUUCCAGGUAAAUCCGGUUCACUUUAACACUGAGGCGUGACGACGAGGCACUACGGUGCUGAAGCAACAAAUGCCCUGCUUCCAGGAAAAGCCUCUAAGCAUCAGGUAACACGAAAUCGUACCCCAAACCGACACAGGUGGUCAGGUAGAGAAUACCAAGGCGCUUGAGAGAACUCGGGUGAAGGAACUAGGCAAAAUGGUGCCGUAACUUCGGGAGAAGGCACGCUGACACGUAGGUGAAGUGAUUUACUCAUGGAGCUGAAGUCAGUCGAAGAUACCAGCUGGCUGCAACUGUUUAUUAAAAACACAGCACUGUGCAAACACGAAAGUGGACGUAUACGGUGUGACGCCUGCCCGGUGCCGGAAGGUUAAUUGAUGGGGUCAGCGUAAGCGAAGCUCCUGAUCGAAGCCCCGGUAAACGGCGGCCGUAACUAUAACGGUCCUAAGGUAGCGAAAUUCCUUGUCGGGUAAGUUCCGACCUGCACGAAUGGCGUAAUGAUGGCCAGGCUGUCUCCACCCGAGACUCAGUGAAAUUGAACUCGCUGUGAAGAUGCAGUGUACCCGCGGCAAGACGGAAAGACCCCGUGAACCUUUACUAUAGCUUGACACUGAACAUUGAGCCUUGAUGUGUAGGAUAGGUGGGAGGCUUUGAAGUGUGGACGCCAGUCUGCAUGGAGCCGACCUUGAAAUACCACCCUUUAAUGUUUGAUGUUCUAACGUGGACCCGUAAUCCGGGUUGCGGACAGUGUCUGGUGGGUAGUUUGACUGGGGCGGUCUCCUCCUAAAGAGUAACGGAGGAGCACGAAGGUUGGCUAAUCCUGGUCGGACAUCAGGAGGUUAGUGCAAUGGCAUAAGCCAGCUUGACUGCGAGCGUGACGGCGCGAGCAGGUGCGAAAGCAGGUCAUAGUGAUCCGGUGGUUCUGAAUGGAAGGGCCAUCGCUCAACGGAUAAAAGGUACUCCGGGGAUAACAGGCUGAUACCGCCCAAGAGUUCAUAUCGACGGCGGUGUUUGGCACCUCGAUGUCGGCUCAUCACAUCCUGGGGCUGAAGUAGGUCCCAAGGGUAUGGCUGUUCGCCAUUUAAAGUGGUACGCGAGCUGGGUUUAGAACGUCGUGAGACAGUUCGGUCCCUAUCUGCCGUGGGCGCUGGAGAACUGAGGGGGGCUGCUCCUAGUACGAGAGGACCGGAGUGGACGCAUCACUGGUGUUCGGGUUGUCAUGCCAAUGGCACUGCCCGGUAGCUAAAUGCGGAAGAGAUAAGUGCUGAAAGCAUCUAAGCACGAAACUUGCCCCGAGAUGAGUUCUCCCUGAGACUUAGAGUCUCCUGAAGGAACGUUGAAGACGACGACGUUGAUAGGCCGGGUGUGUAAGCGCAGCGAUGCGUUGAGCUAACCGGUACUAAUGAACCGUGAGGCUUAACCUU
This 1847-nucleotide ribosomal RNA is filed under the name Salmonella enterica. Its description in RNAcentral is "partial 23S ribosomal RNA". It matches the Rfam family "Bacterial large subunit ribosomal RNA", at positions 1186 to 2925 of the family's 2925-position model. Lineage: Bacteria; Pseudomonadati; Pseudomonadota; Gammaproteobacteria; Enterobacterales; Enterobacteriaceae. The record is from RNAcentral.